This 378-nucleotide ribosomal RNA is filed under the name uncultured bacterium. RNAcentral describes it as "bacterial SSU rRNA". It matches the Rfam family "Bacterial small subunit ribosomal RNA", at positions 524 to 898 of the family's 1533-position model. The record is from RNAcentral.
CACGUAGGGGGCAAGCGUUGUCCGGAUUUAUUGGGCGUAAAGAGCUCGUAGGUGGCUCGGUAAGUCGGGUGUGAAAUUUCGAGGCUCAACCUCGAGACGCCACCUGAUACUGCUGUGGCUAGAGUCCGGUAGGGGAGCGUGGAAUUCCUGGUGUAGCGGUGAAAUGCGCAGAUAUCAGGAGGAACACCAGCGGCGAAGGCGGCGCUCUGGGCCGGUACUGACACUGAGGAGCGAAAGCGUGGGGAUCAAACAGGAUUAGAUACCCUGGUAGUCCACGCCGUAAACGUUGGGCACUAGGUGUGGGGUUCUAUCAACGGACUCCGUGCCGAAGCUAACGCAUUAAGUGCCCCGCCUGGGGAGUACGGCCGCAAGGCUAAA